GCCCAGGUGGCGGAAUUGGUAGACGCGCUGGUCUCAAACACCAGUGGUAGCGAUACCGUGCCGGUUCGAUCCCGGCUCUGGGUA
RNAcentral lists this transfer RNA (84 nucleotides) under Bacteroidota bacterium. RNAcentral's name for it is "Bacteroidetes bacterium (cold seep metagenome) tRNA-Leu". It matches the Rfam family "tRNA". From Rfam's summary of the family: Transfer RNA (tRNA) molecules are approximately 80 nucleotides in length. Their secondary structure includes four short double-helical elements and three loops (D, anti-codon, and T loops). Further hydrogen bonds mediate the characteristic L-shaped molecular structure. tRNAs have two regions of fundamental functional importance: the anti-codon, which is responsible for specific mRNA codon recognition, and the 3' end, to which the tRNAs corresponding amino acid is attached (by aminoacyl-tRNA synthetases). tRNAs cope with the degeneracy of the genetic code in two manners: having more than one tRNA (with a specific anti-codon) for a particular amino acid; and 'wobble' base-pairing, i.e. permitting non-standard base-pairing at the 3rd anti-codon position. Lineage: Bacteria; Pseudomonadati; Bacteroidota. The record is from RNAcentral.